RNAcentral lists this ribosomal RNA (1372 nucleotides) under uncultured bacterium. RNAcentral's name for it is "bacterial SSU rRNA". It matches the Rfam family "Bacterial small subunit ribosomal RNA", at positions 28 to 1381 of the family's 1533-position model. The record is from RNAcentral.
GAUGAACGCUGGCGGCGUGCCUAAUACAUGCAAGUCGAGCGAACGGACGAGAAGCUUGCUUCUCUGAUGUUAGCGGCGGACGGGUGAGUAACACGUGGAUAACCUACCUAUAAGACUGGGAUAACUUCGGGAAACCGGAGCUAAUACCGGAUAAUAUUUUGAACCGCAUGGUUCAAAAGUAAAAGACGGUCUUGCUGUCACUUAUAGAUGGAUCCGCGCUGCAUUAGCUAGUUGGUAAGGUAACGGCUUACCAAGGCAACGAUGCAUAGCCGACCUGAGAGGGUGAUCGGCCACACUGGAACUGAGACACGGUCCAGACUCCUACGGGAGGCAGCAGUAGGGAAUCUUCCGCAAUGGGCGAAAGCCUGACGGAGCAACGCCGCGUGAGUGAUGAAGGUCUUCGGAUCGUAAAACUCUGUUAUUAGGGAAGAACAUAUGUGUAAGUAACUGUGCACAUCUUGACGGUACCUAAUCAGAAAGCCACGGCUAACUACGUGCCAGCAGCCGCGGUAAUACGUAGGUGGCAAGCGUUAUCCGGAAUUAUUGGGCGUAAAGCGCGCGUAGGCGGUUUUUUAAGUCUGAUGUGAAAGCCCACGGCUCAACCGUGGAGGGUCAUUGGAAACUGGAAAACUUGAGUGCAGAAGAGGAAAGUGGAAUUCCAUGUGUAGCGGUGAAAUGCGCAGAGAUAUGGAGGAACACCAGUGGCGAAGGCGACUUUCUGGUCUGUAACUGACGCUGAUGUGCGAAAGCGUGGGGAUCAAACAGGAUUAGAUACCCUGGUAGUCCACGCCGUAAACGAUGAGUGCUAAGUGUUAGGGGGUUUCCGCCCCUUAGUGCUGCAGCUAACGCAUUAAGCACUCCGCCUGGGGAGUACGACCGCAAGGUUGAAACUCAAAGGAAUUGACGGGGACCCGCACAAGCGGUGGAGCAUGUGGUUUAAUUUGAAGCAACGCGAAGAACCUUACCAAAUCUUGACAUCCUUUGACAACUCUAGAGAUAGAGCCUUCCCCUUCGGGGGACAAAGUGACAGGUGGUGCAUGGUUGUCGUCAGCUCGUGUCGUGAGAUGUUGGGUUAAGUCCCGCAACGAGCGCAACCCUUAAGCUUAGCUGCCAUCAUUAAGUUGGGCACUCUAAGUUGACUGCCGGUGACAAACCGGAGGAAGGUGGGGAUGACGUCAAAUCAUCAUGCCCCUUAUGAUUUGGGCUACACACGUGCUACAAUGGACAAUACAAAGGGCAGCGAAACCGCGAGGUCAAGCAAAUCCCAUAAAGUUGUUCUCAGUUCGGAUUGUAGUCUGCAACUCGACUACAUGAAGCUGGAAUCGCUAGUAAUCGUAGAUCAGCAUGCUACGGUGAAUACGUUCCCGGGUCU